AACAGAGUUUAAAGCAAACAAAACUUCAGCUUAUCAUGAAAGAAAUGAUCAUUCUGAUUCCGAUGAAAGCAAAACAGGUUCGGUCAGUCCAACUUUCAAUAAGCAAUAACGAUAAUGACGGAAACCUUAAACAUUCAUGGCCAAAACAAGGAAAUCGAACUUAAAGAAACUAUAGGCACUCAACAACCUAGAUUUGUUCCCACCCAGAAUAACCAUACAAAUCCUCUUUUAUUGACUGACCAUACUCAGCACAUCAAACCAGUUCUGACAGCCUAUGAUAAAAGAAAAUAAGAAAGAUUAACCUUCAAGCCAUUUGGAAACCAGCCCUUAAACAUUUACACACAAAACAAAUUAACUAUGGUCGGAUACUGAUAGAAGAGGUAGACGAACACACGAUUACAUGUUUCGAUAGAUUCUGAGACUAAAGGAUCGUAUGAACUUUCAUUAUCACACAUAUGAAAUCAUAGAAGAGGCUGAAAAAAUAAGAAGAAACAGAGCAGAAAGAUGAACCUAGGAUAACUACACAAAUCUCAGUUAUUACUUUAAACUUUAGCCCAUUUUAUAGCUUAUUCAUAGAUCUAUUUACAACAGGAACUAAAGAGAAGAAAAGAAAAGAACCUGGAAUCAAGAGACUGCUUAAUACAACACUAAAAUAGACCAAAAGGAAGCAAAUAACAGCUAAAAAUCAACCCUCGAGCAGCAACAGACUCGAACAUCUCAAAUGACUUCCAUUUUUAAACCAAAAUCCAGAAUCGUAAUGAAGAAGAUGGACUCUAGAGAUUCUGAAAAAACUUUAAACAAUAAUCGGCAUAGAAAUGACCUAGCCGAACAUUCAGUGAUUUUUUUCUUCUGUUCUAGUACCAGAAAUAAAAGAACAAUCCAAAGAAGAAAUCUCUCUCAAAUCCUUUCCAAAAUAUUCUCCAAAAGUUCCCCCGAAUAAUCCACAAAAAUUCUCUCCCUCAAAAUCGGAUGAGGUCUCUUUUGAAAACGAGCCUCUGAUGAAUGUGAGGCUCAAAUUAAGUGAAAUCAAUCCAACGCCUCGCACUCAUCCAACUAUCAUUCUCAGAACCUUCCAAUCGCGUACUAUAUCUCAAAUUCGAGCGAGUGAGGGGGAGGGGAAUCUUUGGUGUCAGAAAUCAUUGCACCUGUGGCAGGAGGAGAGAAAGGAGAGACACGUGAUGUGAGUUUGGGUUCACUCGCCUGAAUUUGGGCGAGUUUGAGAAUGAAUUUGGGUGAGGAAGAUAGUGAACAGUGUUACCAUCGUUUGAGCUUGAGAGAUUAGGGCUUUGUGAGUCU
This 1296-nucleotide long non-coding RNA is filed under the name Nicotiana tabacum (common tobacco). RNAcentral describes it as "long non-coding RNA (NTAB_LNC012537)". The record is from RNAcentral. Lineage: Eukaryota; Viridiplantae; Streptophyta; Magnoliopsida; Solanales; Solanaceae.